RNAcentral lists this ribosomal RNA (1238 nucleotides) under uncultured Halomonas sp. Its description in RNAcentral is "bacterial SSU rRNA". It matches the Rfam family "Bacterial small subunit ribosomal RNA", at positions 144 to 1383 of the family's 1533-position model. Lineage: Bacteria; Pseudomonadati; Pseudomonadota; Gammaproteobacteria; Oceanospirillales; Halomonadaceae. The record is from RNAcentral.
UAACCUGGGGAAACCCAGGCUAAUACCGCAUACGUCCUACGGGAGAAAGGGGGCUUCGGCUCCCGCUAUUGGAUGAGCCUAUGUCGGAUUAGCUAGUUGGUAAGGUAAUGGCUUACCAAGGCAACGAUCCGUAGCUGGUCUGAGAGGAUGAUCAGCCACAUCGGGACUGAGACACGGCCCGAACUCCUACGGGAGGCAGCAGUGGGGAAUAUUGGACAAUGGGGGCAACCCUGAUCCAGCCAUGCCGCGUGUGUGAAGAAGGCCCUCGGGUUGUAAAGCACUUUCAGCGAGGAAGAACGCCUAUCGGUUAAUACCCGGUAGGAAAGACAUCACUCGCAGAAGAGGCACCGGCUAACUCCGUGCCAGCAGCCGCGGUAAUACGGAGGGUGCAAGCGUUAAUCGGAAUUACUGGGCGUAAAGCGCGCGUAGGUGGCUUGAUAAGCCGGUUGUGAAAGCCCCGGGCUCAACCUGGGAACGGCAUCCGGAACUGUCAGGCUAGAGUGCAGGAGAGGAAGGUAGAAUUCCCGGUGUAGCGGUGGAAUGCGUAGAGAUCGGGAGGAAUACCAGUGGCGAAGGCGGCCUUCUGGACUGACACUGACACUGAGGUGCGAAAGCGUGGGUAGCAAACAGGAUUAGAUACCCUGGUAGUCCACGCCGUAAACGAUGUCGACCAGCCGUUGGGUGCCUAGAGCACUUUGUGGCGAAGUUAACGCGAUAAGUCGACCGCCUGGGGAGUACGGCCGCAAGGUUAAAACUCAAAUGAAUUGACGGGGGCCCGCACAAGCGGUGGAGCAUGCGGUUUAAUUCGAUGCAACGCGAAGAACCUUACCUACCCUUGACAUCUACAGAAGCCGGAAGAGAUUCUGGUGUGCCUUCGGGAACUGUAAGACAGGUGCUGCAUGGCUGUCGUCAGCUCGUGUUGUGAAAUGUUGGGUUAAGUCCCGUAACGAGCGCAACCCUUGUCCUUAUUUGCCAGCGAGUAAUGUCGGGAACUCUAAGGAGACUGCCGGUGACAAACCGGAGGAAGGUGGGGACGACGUCAAGUCAUCAUGGCCCUUACGGGUAGGGCUACACACGUGCUACAAUGGCCGGUACAAAGGGCUGCGAGCUCGCGAGAGUCAGCGAAUCCCUUAAAGCCGGUCUCAGUCCGGAUCGGAGUCUGCAACUCGACUCCGUGAAGUCGGAAUCGCUAGUAAUCGUGAAUCAGAAUGUCACGGUGAAUACGUUCCCGGGCCUUG